GCGCUCAGAGGCCUCCUCCGCGGGUCCUCCCGCUUCAGGCCGCCACGCGGUUGCCGUGGCAACAGACGCCAGCCUCGUCGCCAAGAGGCGGGCAGCAGCAGCAGGGCCUCAACAGAAGGGAAAGAAAGGGCGGGCCAGUCCAGAGGACAUGAUCGCUCCCUCCUCCUCCCGCCCUUUCUCGCACGCAGCAGGAAUCCUCCACGCCGAAAACGGGGCGGGCAUGCCAGGCCAGCCAGCCUUAGUUUGGACUACGUACUGCUGCAUAGGCAACAGGAGCAACAGCUGCUGCCCGCUCUGGCUUCUUUGUCCUAGCCCGCCUUUGCGCUCCGUGUUGCAGUCAGCUCCGUCUCUUUCCUUCUGUUCUCUGCUUUGUGCUCCAACUAAUGCUGGAAAUAAAAAAGGUGUAACUUCUAGAGACUUUAUUUUCUAAGCAACGGUCCAUGUUGCCUCUUUGCCCCCAGUAGCGCCCGGCCGGCUGCGUAUGCGCGCGCCCGCCCAACAGUGAGGCUAAAUAAACCUGUGUCUGCGUAACUCCUCCUGCACGCUCCAUGAUCUUAUACACCGCAGGUUUGGGAGGUCUUCUGCCCCUGUGCUGCCCUGGCUCGCUGCUUAAGCCCGCCUGCCCCUUUUUGUCAUCGAACCUGAUGAAGAGUUCUAGGGCACCCGAAAGCCUGCGCGGCUCACAACCUUGCGUUAUUUUCGUUGGUCCUAAACAGAUCUGUAUGGGGAAGAAAUGGUAGACAAGCACCAUCAUUGAAGGAUACAUGUCGAUUACUGAUCUUCCCAUCAACAACUGACUGUGCCUAUAUUGACUACACUGCCAGAGCUGAUUCCAUUUGGUGCAAAGAUGAAUACAGAGAGUUUAACAGUAAUGAUUAAGCAUGCCGAAGCAAGGCAAUCCAGGCACCUUUGAAAAUAAACAGUAAUCCAGGUAGGUUUAAGAGUCUAAGGAAUGCUGAUGAUUGAAUCAACUGACUGUGAUUCAAGUCCAAAGUGAAAACCGUGAGCUCACGUUAUGUUGCUAGGUAAGAAUGAAAGACUCUGUAGGUGGUGCAGUUUGUAGCUUAGGUAAACAUCUAACUGUUUCAGAUAAAAGCAUAAUGAACUUUCAUGUACAGUGACUUGA
Molecule: long non-coding RNA, 1126 nt
Organism: Hemicordylus capensis (graceful crag lizard)
Lineage: Eukaryota; Metazoa; Chordata; Lepidosauria; Squamata; Cordylidae
Exons: 3
Source: RefSeq, a predicted model, not a curated record